This 410-nucleotide ribosomal RNA is filed under the name uncultured Methylomirabilota bacterium. RNAcentral describes it as "bacterial SSU rRNA". It matches the Rfam family "Bacterial small subunit ribosomal RNA", at positions 1025 to 1434 of the family's 1533-position model. The record is from RNAcentral. Lineage: Bacteria; Methylomirabilota (SeqCode).
AGCGUGGAGACAGGUGGUGCAUGGCUGUCGUCAGCUCGUGUCGUGAGAUGUUGGGUUAAGUCCCGCAACGAGCGCAACCCUCACCCCUUGUUGCCACCAGGUCAGGCUGGGCACUCUAGGGGAACUGCCCCGGUCAACGGGGAGGAAGGUGGGGAUGACGUCAAGUCAUCAUGCCCCUUACGUCCUGGGCUACACACGUGCUACAAUGGCCGGUACAAAGGGAUGCAAGACUGCGAGGUGGAGCUAAACCCAAAAAGCCGGCCUAAGUUCAGAUUGGAGUCUGCAACUCGACUCCAUGAAGGAGGAAUCGCUAGUGAUCGCGCAUCAGCACGGCGCGGUGAAUACGUUCCCGGGCCUUGUACACACCGCCCGUCACACCACGAAAGCCAGCUGUACUCGAAGUCGCUGAG